RNAcentral lists this ribosomal RNA (301 nucleotides) under uncultured bacterium. RNAcentral's name for it is "partial 16S ribosomal RNA". It matches the Rfam family "Bacterial small subunit ribosomal RNA", at positions 509 to 807 of the family's 1533-position model. The record is from RNAcentral.
CAGUAGCCGCGGUAAUACGUAGGUGGCAAACGUUGUCCGGAUUUAUUGGGCGUAAAGCGAGCGCAGGCGGUCAAUUAAGUCUGAUGUGAAAGCCCCCGGCUCAACCGGGGAGGGUCAUUGGAAACUGGUUGACUUGAGUGCAGAAGAGGAGAGUGGAAUUCCAUGCGUAGCGGUGAAAUGCGUAGAUAUAUGGAGGAACACCAGUGGCGAAGGCGACUCUCUGGUCUGUAACUGACGCUGAGGCUCGAAAGCGUGGGUAGCAAACAGGAUUAGAUACCCCAGUAGUCCCUGUCUCUUAUAC